This 451-nucleotide ribosomal RNA is filed under the name uncultured bacterium. RNAcentral's name for it is "bacterial SSU rRNA". It matches the Rfam family "Bacterial small subunit ribosomal RNA", at positions 354 to 796 of the family's 1533-position model. The record is from RNAcentral.
GUGGGGAAUAUUGGACAAUGGGGGGAACCCUGAUCCAGCCAUGCCGCGUGUGUGAAGAAGGCCUUUUGGUUGUAAAGCACUUUAAGCGAGGAGGAGGCUCCUGUAGAUAAUACCUACAGUGAGUGGACGUUACUCGCAGAAUAAGCACCGGCUAACUCUGUGCCAGCAGCCGCGGUAAUACAGAGGGUGCGAGCGUUAAUCGGAUUUACUGGGCGUAAAGCGUGCGUAGGCGGCUUCGUAAGUUGGAUGUGAAAUCCCCGAGCUUAACUUGGGAAUUGCAUUCAAAACUGCGAGGCUAGAGUAUGGGAGAGGAUGGUAGAAUUCCAGGUGUAGCGGUGAAAUGCGUAGAGAUCUGGAGGAAUACCGAUGGCGAAGGCAGCCAUCUGGCCUAAUACUGACGCUGAGGUACGAAAGCAUGGGGAGCAAACAGGAUUAGAAACCCGUGUAGUCC